UGGGGAAUUGUUCGCAAUGGGCGAAAGCCUGACGACGCAACGCCGCGUGGAGGACGAAGAUUUUCGGAUCGUAAACUCCUUUCGAUCGGGACGAACGACUGGUGGCCCAAUACGCCAUCAGAGUGACGGUACCGAGAGAAGAAGCCCCGGCUAACUCCGUGCCAGCAGCCGCGGUAAUACGGGGGGGGCAAGCGUUGUUCGGAAUUACUGGGCGUAAAGGGCGCGUAGGCGGCCUGCUAAGUCACACGUGAAAUCCCUCGGCUCAACCGGGGAACUGCGUGUGAUACUGGCGGGCUUGAAUUCGGGAGAGGGAUGUGGAAUUCCAGGUGUAGCGGUGAAAUGCGUAGAUAUCUGGAGGAACACCGGUGGCGAAGGCGGCAUCCUGGACCGAGAUUGACGCUGAGGCGCGAAAGCUAGGGUAGCAAACGGG
This 430-nucleotide ribosomal RNA is filed under the name Bacillota bacterium. RNAcentral describes it as "Firmicutes bacterium partial 16S ribosomal RNA". It matches the Rfam family "Bacterial small subunit ribosomal RNA", at positions 355 to 776 of the family's 1533-position model. Lineage: Bacteria; Bacillati; Bacillota. The record is from RNAcentral.